AUUCUAGGUAGAACAGGAUUGAGGCUUUGCCCUUGACAGGCUGCCAUUGUACAACUUAGGGACAAGAAUGGAGACUAGAGAAGAGUUUCAGGUCUGUGCAGAAGGCUGCUGCUCUCGUCAGCCUCCCCAUCACAGUCAACUUCAGAAAGUGGAAAUCAGAUGCAUCAGACAUCUCAGGGCAAAGGAACAACUCAGGGGGAAAUGCUGGUUAGAGCUGCUCCAGGAAAUGUAGGAUCUGAGAUUCAAAGCUUUUGGAAAUCAUAUCUGCUUGGAUUUUAACUGAUCAUGGAGAGGCUGAGACAGAAGGACCAGGAAUUUGAGGCUAAUCUGAGCUGCAUGAAACCGUCUCACAACAAAACAAAAUGUAAAAACAUACAGGGACAAUAAAAGAUUUUAUACAGAGCAAAA
Rattus norvegicus (Norway rat) is the source of this 408-nucleotide long non-coding RNA. RefSeq lists it as uncharacterized. NCBI's taxonomy places the organism in Eukaryota, Metazoa, Chordata, Mammalia, Rodentia, Muridae. The record is from RefSeq and is a predicted model, not a curated record.